CAUAAGCCAGCUUGACUGCGAGCGUGACGGCGCGAGCAGGUGCGAAAGCAGGUCAUAGUGAUCCGGUGGUUCUGAAUGGAAGGGCCAUCGCUCAACGGAUAAAAGGUACUCCGGGGAUAACAGGCUGAUACCGCCCAAGAGUUCAUAUCGACGGCGGUGUUUGGCACCUCGAUGUCGGCUCAUCACAUCCUGGGGCUGAAGUAGGUCCCAAGGGUAUGGCUGUUCGCCAUUUAAAGUGGUACGCGAGCUGGGUUUAGAACGUCGUGAGACAGUUCGGUCCCUAUCUGCCGUGGGCGCUGGAGAACUGAGGGGGGCUGCUCCUAGUACGAGAGGACCGGAGUGGACGCAUCACUGGUGUUCGGGUUGUCAUGCCAAUGGCACUGCCCGGUAGCUAAAUGCGGAAGAGAUAAGUGCUGAAAGCAUCUAAGCACGAAACUUGCCCCGAGAUGAGUUCUCCCUGAGACUUAGAGUCUCCUGAAGGAACGUUGAAGACGACGACGUUGAUAGGCCGGGUGUGUAAGCGCAGCGAUGCGUUGAGCUAACCGGUACUAAUGAACCGUGAGGCUUAACCUUACAACGCCGAAG
RNAcentral lists this ribosomal RNA (585 nucleotides) under Escherichia coli. Its description in RNAcentral is "partial 23S ribosomal RNA". It matches the Rfam family "Bacterial large subunit ribosomal RNA", at positions 2358 to 2925 of the family's 2925-position model. Lineage: Bacteria; Pseudomonadati; Pseudomonadota; Gammaproteobacteria; Enterobacterales; Enterobacteriaceae. The record is from RNAcentral.